This 129-nucleotide small RNA is filed under the name Prunus dulcis (almond). Its description in RNAcentral is "sRNA ncRNA". The record is from RNAcentral. Lineage: Eukaryota; Viridiplantae; Streptophyta; Magnoliopsida; Rosales; Rosaceae.
UGGAGCAUUUAUGGUGGAUCAUUCUAAAUUUGGUUGUAUCCCUAAAGCAUGCUCCUAAAGUGAUGAAUUGGCUUUCGAUGACUACAUAGUACGAGUCCUACUGUGUGGACAGAUACGGGUCAAACAUUU